UGGAGGAAACCCGGUGCCUGCCUGCAAGGUGCUCCCAGUUGAGUGCAGGAAGCAGAGCGAUACACAGGUGAUCAUGGCACAGGGUGGUUCGUGCUGAGACAGGACAUGCUGGAGCUCACUUCAGGGAAAGCGAUCCAUCUUGUGGGUAAGGAGCAGAUCCCCAGAGAGAGCACAUCUCGACGGAGGCCUGUGGGAGACUAGCCAGGCAAGGAGGGAGAUGCACAUUCCAGCCCCUAAGCAAUCCUGAGGCGGCAGCAGAGACAGUGGGAAAACUGGGGAGCCCAAAACUCUAGGGGAAACCACGUCUCAAGUUGGAGGAGCUGUGGCCCCAAGAAGGUGGAAAAGAGGCUGGAGUUCAUGGCAGUGGAGGGAUUUGACGACAGUGUGACUGAAUCUUGGGUGCCCCUCCAUGAGGUGAGAGUCCAGAAGCUGAAGGAGAUUCCGUGCAGCGGUGGCGGGACACCAGCACAGACCAGGGGAUGGAAGUCACGUGGUCCAGAGGUGGCACUGGAAGGAUGAUUAAGGUCCAACUGUCUGCAUCCCACGUCCACGUCCAUCUUCGCCAUGACACUGACUGUCUAGCACUGAAGUCACAUACACUCAGGAAAACUUGGCUUCACUAAUUACUACCCUGUGCUUUCUUACUGAGUCUUAGUUUUGUAAAAUUAUGAACAAUGGGAAUUGUACUACCUACUUCAUGGGAUUGCUAUGAAGAUCAAGCAAAAUUACCCUCCUGAACAUGCUGGCGAGGUGGUAGGUAAGUGUUAUGAGUUGAAUUGAAUCCCCCUAAAAGAUGUGUUGAAGUCCUAACCCUCAGUACCUUGGAAUGUGACCUUAUUUGGAAAUAAGGCCUUUACAGAGGUGAUCAAAUUAAAGUGAGGUCAUUAGAAUGGACCCAAAUCCUAUUGGGUCCCAUAUGACUGAUGGCCUCAUAAAAGGGGGAAUUUGGACACAGAGACCGACGUGCAGAGAGGGAAGGCGACAUGAAGAGACACAGGAAGGAGGUCAUGUGAAGACAGAGGAUUGGGGUGGUGCGUCUCCAAGCAGAGGAACACCUGGGGUCCCCAGCAUCUAGGAAGGGCACCGAGUGAUCCUUCCCAGCACCUCUAGAGGGAGCAGGGACCUGCUGACGCCUUGAUUUUGGACUUCUGGCCUCCAGAAGUGUAGGACAAUACAUUUCUGUUGUUCAGAGCCACUCAGUUUGUGGUCUUUGCUACAGCAGCCAACCACAGCAGAGCACCACUGACAUUAUCUUUCUUUCCUAGACCAUUCAUGCAACAAAUAUUUAAGCCAAGUCCUGGAAUUUGCUUAGAGUUCUAAUGGUGGCAGAAAUGCAGCUUGUCCUGGUCCUUAGGAAUGAACCACCAGGGCUGACAGCUGGGCAACCAAAGCUGAGACAGCGCCAGCCGUGGGCGCCGGGACCUCUAAAGUCCCACCCAUCCUGACAGCUCACGUGCUCCGUCCACCACGAAGCCAACCCGUGUGUCACCCCCACCAGACCCACGUUUGUUCAUCCUCCUCUUCUGUGACUUACCACAGGCUCCCCGUCCUAGGAGACCUUCAGUACUUUCCUUCCUCCCUUUUCCUGAACUCCUGUUUGCUGCUUGGCUUGACACCGUCUGCAGGCCCUCACCACACGGUGCUCCUCACUCUCUAGUCUCCAGCCAGCCAGCCAAGGCAGCGUCAGAUGGCGAGAGGCUGGGGUGGAGUCAGGCAGCUUCGAAUCCUCGCUGCUGAACCCGUGAGCCUGGGGAGGUAGGGGCUGGCUUCCUUACCUGGGAACCGUGGGCUGGUACUGCGAUGAAGCACUGAGGUGCAGAUUGCCUGUGUCUGUGAUUGCUUUUAACCACUUCCCUGUGUGUUGAAGUGCACACCACGCAAAAUUACUGAAAAGCAACUUAAGUUUUCAUCAUUGCUUUAUCAGGAAGGGGUUCUGGAUUACGAAUUAGAAGGGUGGCCUCAGAAGCAGCAUGUGGAAAAUGGACAGCUUAUGUCGGACCUGCUGGAAUUCAGCUGUUUCCUAAAGUCACACGAUGGACGAGAAGGUGUCAGUCCUCACGUUGCAGGUGUUCUAAUGAGGAGACUGAUGGUACGGAAACCAUGCAGCGAGAAUGCAUCUCGGUCCUAAAAAGUGCUGGAAGGAGACACGCAGGUUCCUCAUUUUUAAGAUGGGUAUAAUAAUGACAAAAACAGCUGUGAAGAAUAAAGAAAGUUCAUCAACAUAAAGCACUAAUAACAAUGUCUGGAAAGCACUGGAUCAACUGUGUUGAUGCAGCUGAGAGUCUGUGUAAGUGGAUGCUCUGACCCACGCUAGGACAGUCUGAGCAGAAGGACAAAGAGACCCAAGACCCAGAUAUUCUUCAUUUCAGCUGUCCAGUCUAGACCUGUCCACUCUCUGCCUUGCAGCCUUCUCACAGGUUCUGUGACUCCGAGGUAGACUUUCAAGAAAAUCCCGUUGCUUUUGUUGGCUGGAGUAGGUUUCUGCCACCUGCAGCUCAAGGACUGUGGUUGCCAUGGGUAUGGACCAGUCAAAGUCACUCCAGCUGGCUCUCAGGGCACGGGGUGCGUCUAGCUUUGAAGCAGAGUGAGUGUGCCCGUCCACAGGUCUGGCUGGAUUCCCUCGGAUGCAUCUUAUGCCCACUUCAUGCUUCUACUUGCUGUCCUAAGGGGUACAGUGCAAACGGCUUGACCUGGAGGCAGACCGAUGGGUUCAGGACCCAGCUCUCCUACUAAGUGCUGGUGGACGAUUUGCUUAACCGUCCUGUGAUUCAGCUUCUGCAUCUGCCAGACAGAAACAGGAAUGCCUCCCCUGCAGGGCAUGAAGGGGACUAGAGAGGUUGCAGGUAAGCCCGCAGAGAAGAAUGGGGUCCCCAGUUGCUUGUUGUACAGUUAUUCAGCAGACGUGAAGGCCAGUGAUGUGAUGAAGGCUCACGUGGGAUACUGGGAACCACACCGAGGCUGGGUUUGGAGACCUUUUUCCUGAGCCAGUGUGCACAACGGCCAAGUUCUGCUGGUGUCUUGGUUUUUAUUUUUAGCUUCUGUUUUAAAAAGUGGAUGAGUGCUGCUCAUUCUUCAAAAAGAAUACCAGUCAGAUGAUCCCCAACAUUUUGUUACGUUCUUUUAACGUCCUGAGCUUUGCUCACUUGUGCCUCACUGUUAAGGUCCUUUACUGGGGCGAGAAACUGUCAUGAACUCCUUCACUUUACAGUUUCAACUGGAGCUUUUCUGGGGGCCCAUGAAGUUCCUGAGAAUUUCCACAAGUAACUCAUAAAACUGUCUUUUUUUUUUU
Vicugna pacos (alpaca) is the source of this 3289-nucleotide non-coding RNA. The record is from RefSeq and is a predicted model, not a curated record. NCBI's taxonomy places the organism in Eukaryota, Metazoa, Chordata, Mammalia, Artiodactyla, Camelidae.